AGCAGCAGCCGCGGGAAUACGAAGGGUGCAAGCGUUACUCGGAAUUACUGGGCGUAAAGCGUGUGUAGGUGGUUGUUUAAGUCUGUCGUGAAAGCCCUGGGCUCAACCUGGGAAUUGCGAUGGAUACUGGGCGACUAGAGUGCGGUAGAGGAUAGUGGAAUUUCCGGUGUAGCAGUGAAAUGCGUAGAGAUCGGAAGGAACAUCUGUGGCGAAGGCGGCCAUCUGGGACAACACUGACGCUGAGGCACGAAAGCGUGGGGAGCAAACAGGAUUAGAUACCCCAGUAGUCCCUGUCUCUUAUAC
Molecule: ribosomal RNA, 303 nt
Filed under: uncultured bacterium
Lineage: Bacteria
Description: partial 16S ribosomal RNA
Rfam family: Bacterial small subunit ribosomal RNA
Source: RNAcentral